GUGAUUCAGCCAUUCUGGGGAAGUGAAGAAGGCCUUAUGGUUGUUAAGCACUUUAAGAAAGGAAGAGAAUUUUUUAGUUAAUACCUAGGAGGAAUGGGCGGUACUAGCAAAAAAAACCCCGGUUAAAUCUGUCCCAGCAACCCGGGUAAUACAAAGGGUGCUAAGAUUUAUUGGAUUUAAUGGGGGUAAAGGGGGGGUAGGGGGUUUUUUAAGUAAAAUGGGAAAUUCCCGAGGUUAACCUGGGAAAAGCCUUUGAAAAUGGGAAGUUAGGAGUAGGGGAGGAGGAUGGUGGAAUUCCAGGGGAAGGGGUGAAAAUCGUAAAGAUCUGGAGGGAAUAACGAUGGCGAAGGCAGCCAUCUGGCCCAAUAAGGACCGAAGAGGUAGGAAAGCAUGGGGAACAAACAAGAUUAGAAACCCUGGUAGUCCAUGCCGUAAACGAUGUAUAAUAGCAGUUGGGGCAUUUGAGCAUUCAGUAGCGCAGCUAACGCGAUAAGUAGUCCGCCU
This 504-nucleotide ribosomal RNA is filed under the name uncultured bacterium. Its description in RNAcentral is "partial 16S ribosomal RNA". It matches the Rfam family "Bacterial small subunit ribosomal RNA", at positions 383 to 874 of the family's 1533-position model. The record is from RNAcentral.